CCGGGUGGCGACCGGCGCACGGGUGAGUAACGCGUAUGCAACUUACCUAUCAGGAGGGGGAUAACCCGGCGAAAGUCGGACUAAUACCGCAUGAAGCAGGGGCCCCGCAUGGGGAUAUUUGCUAAAGAUUCAUCGCUGAUAGAUAGGCAUGCGUUCCAUUAGGCAGUUGGCGGGGUAACGGCCCACCAAACCGACGAUGGAUAGGGGUUCUGAGAGGAAGGUCCCCCACAUUGGUACUGAGACACGGACCAAACUCCUACGGGAGGCAGCAUG
This 273-nucleotide ribosomal RNA is filed under the name uncultured bacterium. Its description in RNAcentral is "partial 16S ribosomal RNA". It matches the Rfam family "Bacterial small subunit ribosomal RNA", at positions 84 to 353 of the family's 1533-position model. The record is from RNAcentral.